CGCGGCCUAUCAGCUUGUUGGUGAGGUAAUGGCUUACCAAGGCGACGACGGGUAGCCGGCCUGAGAGGGCGACCGGCCACACUGGGACUGAGACACGGCCCAGACUCCUACGGGAGGCAGCAGUGGGGAAUAUUGCACAAUGGGGGAAACCCUGAUGCAGCGACGCCGCGUGAGGGAUGACGGCCUUCGGGUUGUAAACCUCUUUCGGCAGGGACGAAGCGCAAGUGACGGUACCUGCAGAAGAAGCACCGGCUAACUACGUGCCAGCAGCCGCGGUAAUACGUAGGGUGCGAGCGUUGUCCGGAGUUAUUGGGCGUAAAGAGCUCGUAGGCGGUCUGUCGCGUCUGCUGUGAAAACUCAGGGCUUAACCCUGAGCUUGCAGUGGGUACGGGCAGACUAGAGUGCGGUAGGGGAGACUGGAAUUCCUGGUGUAGCGGUGAAAUGCGCAGAUAUCAGGAGGAACACCGGUGGCGAAGGCGGGUCUCUGGGCCGUAACUGACGCUGAGGAGCGAAAGCAUGGGGAGUGAACAGGAUUAGAUACCCUGGUAGUCCAUGCCGUAAACGUUGGGCGCUAGGUGUGGGGACCUUUCCAUGGUUUCCGUGCCGCAGCUAACGCAUUAAGCGCCCCGCCUGGGGAGUACGG
RNAcentral lists this ribosomal RNA (643 nucleotides) under uncultured bacterium. RNAcentral's name for it is "bacterial SSU rRNA". It matches the Rfam family "Bacterial small subunit ribosomal RNA", at positions 232 to 885 of the family's 1533-position model. The record is from RNAcentral.